UCCAUUAAUGAUAGUGUUUGCCUAGCUCCAUAUUUCAAGUUGAAUAACAUAAAUUUCUUGCUAAAUAUUUUUCUAUUUGCUCUGUUUGUAGGGAUUUCUAGAAUAAUUUACUUUUAAAUAUUUCGGGCACUCUUGAUCCUCAUGCAAACGUCACCAUCAUAAUUUAACUAUCCAUGAAUGGGAAGUUAGGAAUAUUGUGCAAAAUGGAAGCAGCAUCGCUAUGAAUGUUGGAGGGUUAAACAUAGAGAGUGAUAAUGGGGUGGUUGGUAAAAGCGUAGCUACUGGUGGAAGUGGGAGUGGUGUGGAUCAAAACCGGUUUGCACAAAGAGAGGCUGCCCUGACCAAAUUUCGGCAGAAGAGAAAGGAAAGAUGUUUCAAAAAGAAGGCCCAUGGAGGAGCAAUGGCAACGCUAUGGGCCAUCUCUGUACAACCUUACCAAUAUGGUGCUUUCAAUUCGGUUGUUUCUUCUUCUUUUCUGGAGGCAUUUUGAGGCAAGAAAAUUGUUCCAUGAAUUGGCAAAGUUUGAUAAGAAAAAGUGAAGUUGCCG
Long non-coding RNA from Magnolia sinica, 547 nucleotides. RefSeq lists it as uncharacterized. The transcript has 4 exons. The record is from RefSeq and is a predicted model, not a curated record. Lineage: Eukaryota; Viridiplantae; Streptophyta; Magnoliopsida; Magnoliales; Magnoliaceae.